UCCGGCGAUAUCACGUUGAAACACCUUUUAUCGUACGAUCACCGAAGUUAAGCAACGUUGAGUCUGGUCAGUAACUAGAUGAGCGACCUCUUGAGAAUACCAGGAGCU
Molecule: non-coding RNA, 108 nt
Organism: Acanthosepion pharaonis
Lineage: Eukaryota; Metazoa; Mollusca; Cephalopoda; Sepiida; Sepiidae
Source: the annotation of a GenBank genome assembly